GUUAUCUCAGCUGUGAAACCAUGCUUCCUGACUCUCCUGCUGGCUAGAGGUUGUGGUUACCAUUUGCCCUAUUCCUAAAGAAAUUAUUUCUCCCAUCUUGACUAUUGGCUGUUCUCUCCUUCCCACACUAGGCCUCUGGUGUGCAGGUCAAUUUUCCUUCUCCCCAUCCAGUGAAUGAGAAACACCAUCGAGUGGAACUGGAUAUUCCUGCUGAGAUUCAGGUACUCUUGAGCUUGGUGUGCCCUAAUGAGGAAAUUUUCUCCAGAGUAACUCGUCAUUCUAUGGGAAAUCUGUGCUGUUUCUACCAGCAGGACUGUGGCUAGGAGAACAAAACCAAGAAAGGAAGGAAGAACAAAUGGAGAAGAGAUCCAAGUCAGCUCAAAUUUUCCCUAUGCAAGGCAAGCCAGCUGCUGGAGUGCAAAGAAGAGAAAUCAAUUGAUAAAAUUUAAGAGUUGGAAGUGAUCUUGAGCAAUUUUCUGGUCUUGUUCCCUGCUUCUAGAUAGGCCAUCCGUGAAGCUUUAUUGAUGAAGGAAGACUAUAUGGACAAUAACAUUUAGAGACCAUGAUAGGGUGUCAAUAAAGGGAGAAGUGAGAAAAAGCC
This is a long non-coding RNA of Ornithorhynchus anatinus (platypus), 601 nucleotides long. RefSeq lists it as uncharacterized. The record is from RefSeq and is a predicted model, not a curated record. Lineage: Eukaryota; Metazoa; Chordata; Mammalia; Monotremata; Ornithorhynchidae. The transcript is spliced from 4 exons.